AAGCCUGAUGCAGCGACGCCGCGUGAGGGAUGACGGCCUUCGGGUUGUAAACCUCUUUCAGUAGGGAAGAAGCGAAAGUGACGGUACCUGCAGAAGAAGCGCCGGCUAACUACGUGCCAGCAGCCGCGGUAAUACGUAGGGCGCAAGCGUUAUCCGGAAUUAUUGGGCGUAAAGAGCUCGUAGGCGGUUUGUCGCGUCUGCCGUGAAAGUCCGGGGCUCAACUCCGGAUCUGCGGUGGGUACGGGCAGACUAGAGUGAUGUAGGGGAGACUGGAAUUCCUGGUGUAGCGGUGAAAUGCGCAGAUAUCAGGAGGAACACCGAUGGCGAAGGCAGGUCUCUGGGCAUUAACUGACGCUGAGGAGCGAAAGCAUGGGGAGCGAACAGGAUUAGAUACCCUGGUAGUCCAUGCCGUAAACGUUGGGCACUAGGUGUGGGGGACAUUCCACGUUUUCCGCGCCGUAGCUAACGCAUUAAGUGCCCCGCCUGGGGAGUACGGCCGCAAGGCUAAAACUCAAA
RNAcentral lists this ribosomal RNA (516 nucleotides) under Arthrobacter ginsengisoli. Its description in RNAcentral is "bacterial SSU rRNA". It matches the Rfam family "Bacterial small subunit ribosomal RNA", at positions 379 to 905 of the family's 1533-position model. The record is from RNAcentral. Lineage: Bacteria; Bacillati; Actinomycetota; Actinomycetes; Micrococcales; Micrococcaceae.